UCCUGUUUGGCUCAAUUGGUAGAGCGUGGUGCUUGCAAUGCCAGGAUUGCGGGUUUGAUUCCCCCUGGGAU
This 71-nucleotide transfer RNA is filed under the name Salmo salar (Atlantic salmon). It matches the Rfam family "tRNA". Rfam says of the family: Transfer RNA (tRNA) molecules are approximately 80 nucleotides in length. Their secondary structure includes four short double-helical elements and three loops (D, anti-codon, and T loops). The record is from Rfam by way of RNAcentral. RNAcentral also lists the same sequence under 1 other name. Lineage: Eukaryota; Metazoa; Chordata; Actinopteri; Salmoniformes; Salmonidae.